Molecule: long non-coding RNA, 1455 nt
Filed under: Vigna radiata
Lineage: Eukaryota; Viridiplantae; Streptophyta; Magnoliopsida; Fabales; Fabaceae
Description: long non-coding RNA (VRAD_LNC006606)
Source: RNAcentral
GGGGGUUGUGAAAACGGUUGUGAUUGCAGAUGAACAAAAUCAAAACACAGAUGCAGACAGAAACGCAAACACAGAUCUAAAACGGUUUCAAGACAGACUGAAGACGGUUGGUCAUUAACUUAAUUACAACGCUUCCUAUCACAGAUCAACAAAAUAAAGCCAACUCAAACCUUUAAUCAAACGCAAUUAAUCAACUAAGCGCAUGCUAAUUAUGUUUUCAUAAAAGCCAACUAAGUGAACGUAAUGGUAACAUUAAAUCUAAUUUACACCAUGCAGUUUCAUAAACUAAGAGGAGACUCAACACCACUUGGGCAACCAAGUGUAUACCCAAUUCAAGUGCAAAUACAGAUUUGAUAUUAACCAAGUCAGAGUGACAAUCACACACACAGUUCAGAAAUAUCAAAGAAGCAAUGCAAUAUCGCUAAUGACCAUCACAAUAAUUUAAGCUAUCAUGACAACUAAAUUAUCUCUACCAAAAAUACAAGACAACAUUAAGACAACAUUAAGACAAAAUAAAAUAAAAUUCUAGACUCCAUCACUAUUACAAACAUCUGUCUAGCAGAGUUAAAAUAAAUUAAAUGCAAAAUAAAAUAUAAAAAAAGAAAAGAAAAGAUCAAACACAACUCAAUAUACUAUGCAAAAUAUUUUAAAGCAAAAGAAAUGAGUGGAUAUAGUUUUUCUUCACCAAAUCAAGUGACCUCCCAAAGCUUCAAUGUGAAGAAAAUUAAUUCCUCUCUCCUCCCAAAGGUUAAUGUCAAUUUGCCUUGCAACCAAGGAGUAAAAAAAAUAUUUUUCUUCUUCUACAAAAUCACAUUGCCGAGACUUCCAAUUCCUUCUCCAAGAAUUGUGUUUCUCCAAUUAAAAAUCCCAAAAGAAUGGGUGCUCCAGUGUUGACAAAUUGGCAAGCGUACCAAAUCGUACAAGUAAUAUAAUUGGUAAAACCCAAUAUCAUUUUUCCCAAGAGACUCAAAUGGCUUUCUCGUUCACUUGAAUUAAAAUAAUAACACUUGAAAAUAGAAAUUAAUAAAUUGGAUUUGAGAACACAAAUAUUAACAUGCAAAAUAAAGUUGAUUCAAUUGACAAAAGAAAACAAUGGAUUAGUGGAUGUUGUUGGGGGUUUACAAUUUCAUCUAAUUCGCUCUCUCUUACCUACUCCUCUUGAAUAUUAGUUUGAUUAAUUAAUUGUUAUGCGACUUUCUUAGCCUCCCCUUAACCCGAUCCCUCGGCGAAAAGAGCUUAAUAUUAACUACUGGCUUGUUAUCCCUAGCUUCCCCUAGCAAUUAAUACCGCAUUAUAAACAUAAGUUAGCGCAAUUGAUCGUCCUACCCCUAUCCCUAGGUGGUAUUGCAAAAUCAAGAAAUUACUCACGAGUUCAUGUCAUUANUGUACGUCCCCAUAUCAAUAAAGACAAACAUCAGUUACCGAAUGAGUUAAACGAUAAAGGCCUUAAGCACA